CUUUUGGCGGUUAGUGGGAUGGGGCCCGCGGCCUAUCAGCUUGUUGGUGGGUAAUGGCCUACCAAGGCGACGACGGGUAGCCGGCCUGAGAGGGUGUCCGGCCACACUGGGACUGAGAUACGGCCCAGACUCCUACGGGAGGCAGCAGUGGGGAAUAUUGCACAAUGGGCGCAAGCCUGAUGCAGCGACGCCGCGUGAGGGAUGACGGCCUUCGGGUUGUAAACCUCUUUCAAUAGGGACGAAGCGCAAGUGACGGUACCUAUAGAAGAAGCACCGGCCAACUACGUG
RNAcentral lists this ribosomal RNA (288 nucleotides) under uncultured bacterium. RNAcentral's name for it is "partial 16S ribosomal RNA". It matches the Rfam family "Bacterial small subunit ribosomal RNA", at positions 208 to 507 of the family's 1533-position model. The record is from RNAcentral.